GAUGAACGCUGGCGGCGUGCCUAAUACAUGCAAGUCGAGCGAACGGACGAGAAGCUUGCUUUUCUGAUGUUAGCGGCGGACGGGUGAGUAACACGUGGAUAACCUACCUAUAAGACUGGGAUAACUUCGGGAAACCGGAGCUAAUACCGGAUAAUAUUUUGAACCGCAUGGUUCAAAAGUGAAAGACGGUCUUGCUGUCACUUAUAGAUGGAUCCGCGCUGCAUUAGCUAGCUGGUAAGGUAACGGCUUACCAAGGCAACGAUGCAUAGCCGACCUGAGAGGGUGAUCGGCCACACUGGAACUGAGACACGGUCCAGACUCCUGCGGGAGGCAGCAGUAGGGAAUCUUCCGCAAUGGGCGAAAGCCUGACGGAGCAACGCCGCGUGAGUGAUGAAGGUCUUCGGAUCGUAAAACUCUGUUAUUAGGGAAGAACAUAUGUGUAAGUAACUGUGCACAUCUUGACGGUACCUAAUCAGAAAGCCACGGCUAACUACGUG
RNAcentral lists this ribosomal RNA (497 nucleotides) under uncultured bacterium. Its description in RNAcentral is "partial 16S ribosomal RNA". It matches the Rfam family "Bacterial small subunit ribosomal RNA", at positions 28 to 507 of the family's 1533-position model. The record is from RNAcentral.